Regulatory RNA element from Pseudomonas aeruginosa PAO1, 57 nucleotides. It matches the Rfam family "Guanidine-II riboswitch aptamer (mini-ykkC)". Rfam says of the family: Simpler in structure and has fewer highly conserved nucleotide positions than the ykkC-yxkD leader. Despite this each of its two stem-loop structures directly bind free guanidine. Therefore, mini-ykkC RNA motif represents a distinct class of guanidine-sensing RNAs. NCBI's taxonomy places the organism in Bacteria, Pseudomonadati, Pseudomonadota, Gammaproteobacteria, Pseudomonadales, Pseudomonadaceae. The record is from Rfam.
CAGUGAGGACGACCUCACCACCCGCCUCCGGCCGGUGAUCGAAUGGGGACGGCCCCG